CAAAAGGGUCUUUGUCUUCAUCAAAUGGGGCUUUAGACUGAAAUGGUUGGAGAACUUAAAAAAAUAAGCUCUUGAAUCACUGUCCUCCCAAGGAUGAAUUACAUCCUAACUCUUGGUGAUUUCAAUGUCCACAUAGAUGACCCUUCCAUACUCUGGUCGCCAUUCUGUGAGCUUCUAUCCUCCACCCUUCUCAGCCACUGACUCCUCUGAUUUCAACUAGAUUUUUCCAUUAAAACCUGCAUCCUACCCCAUUACUCCCACUGUCCUGCUAUGCCACCUCCUAUCUUUUCCUCUGAGUUCGAGUUUCCUUCAACCCCACCAAUCCUACAACCUGUCGCUCCUACCAGGCAUCUCAACAAGUCCAAACUAAUCUUUCAAUGUUAUCAUACAAAACUUAAUCUCCCCCAAUUUUCCCCCAUCUAGUAAAUGGCAGCUUCAUUUUUUUAGUUGCCCAAAACCUUUCAGUUUAUCUUUGACUUUUCUCUCCACCCUAUUUCUAACCCAUCAGGAAAUCCUUUCAAAAUCUAUUCGGAAUUUGACCCCUCUCACUCCUUUCACUGAACCACCUGGACAAAACUUCCACCAUCACUCACCUGCACUAUCAAAAAAUAAUUUUCCUCAAUGCCCUCCCUGCUUCUAACCUUACCCUUUCCAGUCUACUGUAAUUCUUUUAAAAUCUUAGAUCAUGUCCCUUCUCUGCUCAAAACCUUGUCGACGUCUUCCCACCUAUAUUAGCAGAAUGCUGGCUCCAUAAGAGAGAAACCCCCAU
RNAcentral lists this long non-coding RNA (769 nucleotides) under Marmota monax (woodchuck). The record is from RNAcentral. Lineage: Eukaryota; Metazoa; Chordata; Mammalia; Rodentia; Sciuridae.